GACGAACCGUGCUAACGUUGUUCGGAAUCACUGGGCUUAAAGGGCGCGUAGGCGGUGCGCUUAGUCGGUGGUGAAAUCCUGCGGCUUAACCGUAGAAUUGCCGCCGAAACUGGCGUGCUCGAGUGAGGUAGGGGUGUGUGGAACUUCCGGUGGAGUGGUGAAAUAUGUUGAUAUCGGAAGGAACGCCUGUGGCGAAAGCGACACACUGGACCUUGUCUGACGCUGAGGCGCGAAAGCUAGGGGAGCGAACGGG
This 253-nucleotide ribosomal RNA is filed under the name uncultured bacterium. RNAcentral describes it as "partial 16S ribosomal RNA". It matches the Rfam family "Bacterial small subunit ribosomal RNA", at positions 524 to 776 of the family's 1533-position model. The record is from RNAcentral.